Non-coding RNA from Pelobates cultripes (western spadefoot toad), 1741 nucleotides. Lineage: Eukaryota; Metazoa; Chordata; Amphibia; Anura; Pelobatidae. The record is from the annotation of a GenBank genome assembly.
UUUUUUUUUUUUCCUGCAAAGAAAAACAUGGAUCAGUUAGAUGGAAAUCAGUCUGGUAUCAGUGUAAAGGGAGCAGAUGGUGUCCAGGCCAGAAGCGAGUAGGCAUUGUAACAUGUUAGAAGCAGCUUGCAGAGGGAAAGAGCCUACAGCAGAUCUACUGAUAAAGGCAAGAUCUGGAUCACAUAUGCAGAGGACUUAACAUAAUGCUGAGUGAAACAGAACGGCCGUUCUAUACAUUAAAACACAGAUUAUUUAUCUAUAUUUAUAAGGUUUAUUCCAGAUUUUUAAAGGGCACGACCCAUGCAAAAACAUGCAUAGACAGGGCUUAUUUAACCAAAAUGGAACCUAAUUUAUCUAUUCCGUGCGGCUGUGCUCAUUUUAAACUUUUGGAGAGUAGAGAUCAAUGGAAUUUAGGAUGCUAUUAUGCAUUGUCAGCAAUAUAAUGCAUUCGGAUGUAUUGUGUCAGUGUUAUCAAAAUAUAAUGGACAAAAAAAGGAUACUUAAGAAUCAUGGGCAACAGCAGCUUUACCAAGAGGGGGGAUUUGCACCACAUAUCCCCUCAUAGCAUUUUAAUUUGCAUAAAUGCCUCAAUGCCUUUUUAAAAAACAUUUUUUAUUGAUGCCUGGUUCACCUUAAAGGAAUAUUCCAAAAACCAUAAGCACUACAGUUCACUCUCUAUUCAGAGAUUUUCUAUAUUUCGAUGGAUAUGUAAGGCCUGAUAUGUAAGGUAUAGUAUAUAUGGACAGGGAAAACAUACAGUGCCCACCACUAAUAUUGGCACCCUUGGUACAUAUGAGCAAACAAGAAUUGUCUUUACUGUUUGAUCUUUUGCUAAAUAUAUGUGUGGUACAACUAUUGGCCCCCCUCUUUUUGUCAAUACUUUGUGCUACCUCUUUUUGUCAAAAUAAGAGCUCUGAUUCUCCUACAAUGCCAGGUUAGAAGAAUACAUUUCAAGGGAUUGGAGACCACUCCUCCAUACAGAAUCUCUUGUGGCAGAGUCCAUGAUGCCACGUAUUCUAACAAAAUGUCCAGAUCAUCUGGCAGAAAAACAGCCCCAAAACCACCAUAUUUAACUGUGGGUAUAAGGAACCUUUCCAUAUGGCUACCUCUCUAUGUGCACCAAAUCCAUCUCUGGUUUAUUGCCAAAAAGCUCUAUUUUGGUUUCAUCUGACUAUAGAACCCAAUCUUAUUUGAAGUUCCAGUAGUGUCUGGCAAACUUGUGUUUUUUGUUUUUUUUUUGCUUUUCUCUUGAAACCCUUCCAAACGACUUGCGGUGAUGCAUGUGAUGUCAUAUUGUAGUUUUGGAGACUUUCUGACUCAACUCACAUCUGCAGGCUGAUUUAUAGCAUUUUCAGUUGACUGGAACUACUUAAUUAUUGCCCUUAUGGUGAAAAUAGACAUUUUCAAUGUUUUUGCUCUUUCUUAUAGCCACUUCCCAUUUUGUGAAGAACCUUUUGUCGUACGUCACAGCUAUAUUCCUUGGUUUUACCCAUUGUAAAGAAUGACUAAGGAAAUUUGUUACCUCAUUUUUAUAACACUGUGAAAUAAGAAGUUAUGGUUGAACAAUUUCCUGUUUCUAGUCACUCAGAUGUACGAAAAAAUUUAGAAUAUCAAUGUCAAUAUCCUUCAAGAGUAUGUUUGUGUAUUUAUUGAACAAAAUAUCAAAAUGUUGAACAAUAAAGAUACAUUUUCAUUACAUAUUAGUGGCGUGCACGGUACCACAGCAUUUGGAGACACGGAA